AACGAACGCUGGCGGCAUGCCUAACACAUGCAAGUCGAACGAAACCUUCGGGUCUACUGGCGCACUCGUGCGUAACGCGUUGGAACCUGCCCUUAGGUUCGGAAUAACUCCCCGAAUGGGGUCCUAAUACCGGCUCAUUUCUUCCGUCCAACCGUUGAUCGCCUUUGGAUGGGCGCGAGUUGGAUUAGCUAGUUGUUAGGGUAAAAGCCUACCACGGCGACGAUCCAUAACUGGGAAGAGAGGAUGAGCAGCCACACUGGUCGUGGGAAACGGACCAGAAUACUAGGGAAGGGAGCAGAGGGGAAUAUAGGAAAAUGGGGGAAAGGAUGAAGGAGCAAUGACGGGAAAGUGAUGAAGGCCUGAGGGAAGUAAAGCAAUUUUACACGGGAUGAUAAUGACAGUACCGGGAGAAUAAGCACCGGCUAACUCCGUG
This 433-nucleotide ribosomal RNA is filed under the name uncultured bacterium. Its description in RNAcentral is "partial 16S ribosomal RNA". It matches the Rfam family "Bacterial small subunit ribosomal RNA", at positions 29 to 507 of the family's 1533-position model. The record is from RNAcentral.